CAAAACCAAGGGCCUAACCGCAAAAAGGGAUCCCCAACCCAAAACCAAAAGAAACCCUCUCCCGUUUGCCUCCACGCCGCUUCAGUUUGAAAACCCACCGCCACGUCGCCGCCGCCGCCGCCGCCGCCGCCGACGCCGAGAUGGCUCGCACGAAGCACCCGGCGGUGAGGAAGUCGAAGGCGGAGCCCAAGAAGAAGCUCCAGUUCGAACGCUCCCCUCGGCCGUCGAAGGCGCAGCGCGCUGGUGGCGGCACGGGUACCUCGGCGACCACGAGGAGCGCGGCUGGAACAUCGGCUUCAGCAGGGACGCCUAGGCAGCAAACGAAGCAGAGGAAGCCACACCGCUUCCGUCCAGGCACAGUGGCACUGCGGGAGAUCAGGAAAUUUCAGAAAACCACCGAACUGCUGAUCCCGUUUGCACCAUUUUCUCGGCUGGUCAGGGAGAUCACUGAUUUCUAUUCAAAGGAUGUGUCACGGUGGACCCUUGAAGCUCUCCUUGCAUUGCAAGAGUGGUUUUCCCUCUCCUGCAGGCAGCAGAAUACCACUUAGUGGACAUAUUUGAAGUGUCAAAUCUCUGCGCCAUCCAUGCUAAGCGUGUUACCAUCAUGCAAAAGGACAUGCAACUUGCCAGGCGUAUCGGUGGGCGGAGGCCAUGGUGAAAAUUUGUUUGCGAGCCAUGCAGCAUGAUGGACAAGGAGCAACAUGUGUCGUUGAUUAACAUUUUAGAAAGUAGUGUAGAUGUAUCUUCACAUAGGGAUCAACUUACCCUUCGUUCCCAUUCUAAUUCAGUUGAUGUUAGUAUUUACCUUUUGCUCCAUUUGGAUUGGUCGAAUUCAGGAUUUCAUCAAACAGUCGAUUGUGAAAUGUGAACCAGGAAUUGUUGUGUUGAUUGCAAUAAUGGGUUCCUCUCACCUGCUUCUUCCA
This is an RNA transcript of Oryza sativa Japonica Group (Japanese rice), 923 nucleotides long. It is a transcript of the gene named histone H3-1, with no coding region annotated. NCBI's taxonomy places the organism in Eukaryota, Viridiplantae, Streptophyta, Magnoliopsida, Poales, Poaceae. The record is from RefSeq and is marked validated.